Molecule: transfer RNA, 76 nt
Filed under: Planctomycetota bacterium
Lineage: Bacteria; Pseudomonadati; Planctomycetota
Description: Planctomycetes bacterium (soil metagenome) tRNA-Val
Rfam family: tRNA
About the family: Transfer RNA (tRNA) molecules are approximately 80 nucleotides in length. Their secondary structure includes four short double-helical elements and three loops (D, anti-codon, and T loops).
Source: RNAcentral
GGGCGGUUAGCUCAGCGGCUAGAGCAUUCGCUUCACACGCGAGGGGUCACAGGUUCGAAUCCUGUACUGCCCACCA